UGACAUCAGUUAACGUUCACAUAGCCCAGUAUGCCCCUUGAUUGAGACAACUGUGUGAGUGAGGCCAAGGGAGGAGGAGCCCAAGGCUCACACAAGGGGCUUGGCUGGCCCGGGGUCAUCCAGCUAGCCCCAGUCAAGGCUCUUUGGGGCAACAAACGGUUUGUGAUCAGUCUCCUAAAAUGCAGCCAUGGCUUUCCGGUGAGAACUGAGCCCUUUGUAGAGCUAAUGAGCAUUUAUUUCCUUUGUGGCCCGGCAUAGUCACACCCACCACCGAAAACCUUCUACCAUUAAAGAGAAAUACCUGCCACUGAUCGGAUCAUCCUGGCAGAGAGAAGCCUCCUGCAUUCAACUGUGGAGUUUGAUUUCACUCAGAGGACGACGAUCUCAGCGUUGGACAGGACCGUGGAGUCCAGCCUGUGCCUGAGAUGAAAACUUCAGGGGUUUCCGUGUUUAUUCGUCUGGAGAAUGAUUAAAUCGAACACAUUUGUUCAGCACCAGCUCUGUCUCUGUCCUCAGGGAGCUUGUAACGCGAUAAUCAAGUUCCUACCAUGGAGAGCAGAGAGGGGGAGAGAGGAGAGGAACAAGAGAAGAAAACAGAUCUUGUUACCUGAUCCCCUACGGAUCUGUGACAUCAGUUGCUGGAAGCUGUCAAUUUCCAGGAUGACUCAUUUGGAGCACUGAAGCACUGAGGAAUGUCGGAUCAUAAGGAUUUUCUGAUCUUUUAAAA
Long non-coding RNA from Dromiciops gliroides (monito del monte), 727 nucleotides. RefSeq lists it as uncharacterized. NCBI's taxonomy places the organism in Eukaryota, Metazoa, Chordata, Mammalia, Microbiotheria, Microbiotheriidae. The record is from RefSeq and is a predicted model, not a curated record. The transcript is spliced from 3 exons.